UGGGGAAUAUUGCACAAUGGGCGCAAGCCUGAUGCAGCCAUGCCGCGUGUGUGAAGAAGGCCUUCGGGUUGUAAAGCACUUUCAGCGGGGAGGAAGGCGUUAAGGUUAAUAACCUUGUCGAUUGACGUUACCCGCAGAAGAAGCACCGGCUAACUCCGUGCCAGCAGCCGCGGUAAUACGGAGGGUGCAAGCGUUAAUCGGAAUUACUGGGCGUAAAGCGCACGCAGGCGGUCUGUCAAGUCGGAUGUGAAAUCCCCGGGCUCAACCUGGGAACUGCAUUCGAAACUGGCAGGCUAGAGUCUUGUAGAGGGGGGUAGAAUUCCAGGUGUAGCGAUGAAAUGCGUAGAGAUCUGGAGGAAUACCGGUGGCGAAGGCGGCCCCCUGGACAAAGACUGACGCUCAGGUGCGAAAGCGUGGGGAGCAAACAGG
This 429-nucleotide ribosomal RNA is filed under the name Chloroflexota bacterium. RNAcentral's name for it is "Chloroflexi bacterium partial 16S ribosomal RNA". It matches the Rfam family "Bacterial small subunit ribosomal RNA", at positions 355 to 776 of the family's 1533-position model. Lineage: Bacteria; Bacillati; Chloroflexota. The record is from RNAcentral.